Molecule: ribosomal RNA, 1365 nt
Filed under: Apiosordaria backusii
Lineage: Eukaryota; Fungi; Ascomycota; Sordariomycetes; Sordariales; Lasiosphaeriaceae
Description: partial 28S ribosomal RNA
Rfam family: Eukaryotic large subunit ribosomal RNA
Source: RNAcentral
CAACAGGGAUUGCCUCAGUAACGGCGAGUGAAGCGGCAACAGCUCAAAUUUGAAAUCUGGCCUCGGCCCGAGUUGUAAUUUGUAGAGGAAGCUUUUGGUGCGGCACCGACCGAGUCCCCUGGAACGGGGCGCCAUAGAGGGUGAGAGCCCCGUAUGGUUGGACGCCUAUCCUGUGUAAAGCUCCUUCGACGAGUCGAGUAGUUUGGGAAUGCUGCUCAAAAUGGGAGGUAAAUUUCUUCUAAAGCUAAAUACUGGCCAGAGACCGAUAGCGCACAAGUAGAGUGAUCGAAAGAUGAAAAGCACUUUGAAAAGAGGGUUAAAUAGCACGUGAAAUUGUUGAAAGGGAAGCGCUCGUGACCAGACUUGCGCCGCGCCGAUCAUCCGGGGUUCUCCCCGGUGCACUCGGCGCGGCUCAGGCCAGCAUCGGUUUUCGCGGGGGGACAAAGGUCCCGGGAACGUAGCUCCUCCGGGAGUGUUAUAGCCCGGGGCGUAAUGCCCUCGCGGGGACCGAGGACCGCGCUUCGGCAAGGAUGCUGGCGUAAUGGUCACCGGCGACCCGUCUUGAAACACGGACCAAGGAGUCAAGGUUUUGCGCGAGUGUUUGGGUGUAAAACCCGCACGCGUAAUGAAAGUGAACGUAGGUGAGAGCUUCGGCGCAUCAUCGACCGAUCCUGAUGUAUUCGGAUGGAUUUGAGUAGGAGCGUUAAGCCUUGGACCCGAAAGAUGGUGAACUAUGCUUGGAUAGGGUGAAGCCAGAGGAAACUCUGGUGGAGGCUCGCAGCGGUUCUGACGUGCAAAUCGAUCGUCAAAUCUGAGCAUGGGGGCGAAAGACUAAUCGAACCAUCUAGUAGCUGGUUACCGCCGAAGUUUCCCUCAGGAUAGCAGUGUUGUUCUUCAGUUCUAUGAGGUAAAGCGAAUGAUUAGGGACUCGGGGGCGCUUUUUAGCCUUCAUCCAUUCUCAAACUUUAAAUAUGUAGGAAGCCCUUGUUACUUAACUGAACGUGGGCGUUCGAAUGAACCAACACUAGUGGGCCAUUUUUGGUAAGCAGAACUGGCGAUGCGGGAUGAACCGAACGCGGGGUUAAGGUGCCGGAGUGGACGCUCAUCAGACACCACAAAAGGCGUUAGUACAUCUUGACAGCAGGACGGUGGCCAUGGAAGUCGGAAUCCGCUAAGGACUGUGUAACAACUCACCUGCCGAAUGUACUAGCCCUGAAAAUGGAUGGCGCUCAAGCGUCCCACCCAUACCCCGCCCUCAGGGUAGAAACGAUGCCCUGAGGAGUAGGCGGCCGUGGGGGUCAGUGACGAAGCCUAGGGCGUGAGCCCGGGUCGAACGGCCUCUAGUGCAGAUCUUGGUGGUAGUAA